Syngnathoides biaculeatus (alligator pipefish) is the source of this 1042-nucleotide long non-coding RNA. RefSeq lists it as uncharacterized. The transcript has 3 exons. The record is from RefSeq and is a predicted model, not a curated record. Lineage: Eukaryota; Metazoa; Chordata; Actinopteri; Syngnathiformes; Syngnathidae.
UACUGUGGUGUUUGUCUUCACUCGAGCCUGCGGUGGAAAAAAAAAAAGUGAUGCUUCGAGGCUGGCAGUACCUCUGCAGACCCACCAGAUGGCGACUGUGGGAAGGAUGCCGAGCAGGACGAGAGAGGAAAAACUCCGUCAGGAAGGGUCAGGGCUUCAUGUAUGGAGGACCCGUCCGGAACGAUGCGCAUGCGAGGAGGUACUUCUCUGCUGCAAAGGGUUUUUGGGCCUCGGAUAUAAAAAAAAGAAAUCCGCGUUAGUAGCAGCCACCGGGUGCAUGACCUACUGUGGUGUUUGUCUUCACAAGAGCCUGCGGUGGAAAAAAAAAAAAAAAAAGUGAUGCUUCGAGGCUGGCAGUACCUCUGCAGACCCACCAGAUGGCGACUGUGGGAAGGAUGCCGAGCAGGACAAGAGAGGAAAAACUCCGUCAGGAUGGGUCAGGGCUUCCUGUAUGGAGGACCCGUCCGGAACAAUGCGCAUUCGAGGAGGCCCGAACGGAGACAUCUCCUGGAGGCCAAUGAAUCACAGACCUUGACACCAGGGAGACAGACUAAAUUACAUAUAUGUGUAAAAAAGGGUCUAUGCGUCAAUGCAUGUUUUCUUGGUUAUGUGUGUGUAUAUAUAAAUAUAUAUAUAUAUAUAUAAACCCUGAGACUCAUACGUGCUUGCGCGGCAAAACGGCAACACAGGAGUUAUUUAGACAGCCAGGGUUUUAAACAUCAUUUGUACAAUGUUUAAAAUUUUGUAUACAUUGUAGAAGUGCUUCCUACGGGUUGCCGUGAUUUCCUUGCCCCGUCUAGGACCUACUGUGGUGUUUGUCUUCACAAGAGCCUGCGGUGGAAAAAAAAAAAAAAAAGUGAUGCUUCGAGGCUGGCAGUACCUCUGCAGACCCACCAGAUGGCGACUGUGGGAAGGAUGCCGAGCAGGACAAGAGAGGAAAAACUCCGUCAGGAGGGGUCACGGCUUCCUGUAUGGAGGACCCGUCCGGAACAAUGCGCAUGCGAGGAGGUACUUCUCUGCUGCAAAGGGUUUUUGGGUUUUC